RNAcentral lists this ribosomal RNA (261 nucleotides) under uncultured bacterium. Its description in RNAcentral is "partial 16S ribosomal RNA". It matches the Rfam family "Bacterial small subunit ribosomal RNA", at positions 1231 to 1500 of the family's 1533-position model. The record is from RNAcentral.
UGGCAGGUACAGAGGGAUGCUACCGGGCGACCGGAUGCGGAUCUCGAAAGCCUGUCCCAGUUCGGACUGGAGUCUGCAACCCGACUCCACGAGGUUGGAUUCGCUAGUAAUCGCGCAUCAGCCAUGGCGCGGUGAAUACGUUCCCGGGCCUUGUACACACCGCCCGUCAAGCCAUGGGAGCCGGGGGCGCCUGAAGUCCGGGACCGCGAGGACCGGCCUAGGGCGAAACUGGUAACUGGGGCUAAGUCGUAACAAGGUACC